CUUUUUCCUUGAGGAACAAAACAAACAAUAAAUCAGGUAAGCUAUGCAGACUGCUGAGACCUGUGAAAUAUUGCAGAAUGACAGAACUUUUUUGCUUUAUUCUUAGCCUAAGCUAUUUCCUUUUUCCUUGAGGAACAAAACAAACAAUAAAUCAGGUAAGUUAUGCAGACUGCUGAGACCUGUGAAAUAUUGCAGAAUGACAGAACGUUUCCAAAUUUUUUAAGUUAGAAGGCCUCAGCAGACCUUCAAGUGCCUCUCUUGCUCCUAUUACAAUUCCACGUCAUUCAGAAAAAGGAGAGUCGUAUAUAAAGAAAACAGUCACCAUGAUUCAAUAUCCAUAACUAUGUGAUUGUGGUGGCCCGGGGGGAGGGGGAGUGUACACAAGCAAGUGCCAGCAUUAACAAUCCCCCAAAAUCGUAUCCCUUUCUCAGUAUUA
This 436-nucleotide long non-coding RNA is filed under the name Populus trichocarpa (black cottonwood). Its description in RNAcentral is "long non-coding RNA (PTRI_LNC001037)". The record is from RNAcentral. Lineage: Eukaryota; Viridiplantae; Streptophyta; Magnoliopsida; Malpighiales; Salicaceae.